GAGGAAACAGUCAUGAGUCCGCAGUCUUCUCGGAGGACAGCCGGUCGUCUCUUCUUGACGACCCAACGCGCCAUCUGUCCAGUCGGUGAAGAAACCCCAGACACCCUGGAGACAGAAACAGGAGUAGCUGCUGGGCGCACUGCAUUGUGGGAGUAAAAACUCCCAGAAGUCUCUGUGCAGAAUGGCCCAGCGUACCUGUUUGUCUUCUGGUCCUGAGACCCGGAAUUAUUGACGUCACACCAACACCCAGCCAGCCAAUGAGAAAUGUCAACAAAACGUCACGAAGAGGACGAACGCGAUUGGCCGAGCAGGAGCAGCUUGGAGCCGCGAGGAUGGAGGAGGACAGCUGGUUGCUAGGCAGGUUGUCAGGGAGAAGAAGGUGACCUUUCCAGGUGACCCUCAUGUGACG
Molecule: long non-coding RNA, 409 nt
Organism: Salarias fasciatus (jewelled blenny)
Lineage: Eukaryota; Metazoa; Chordata; Actinopteri; Blenniiformes; Blenniidae
Exons: 3
Source: RefSeq, a predicted model, not a curated record